Molecule: ribosomal RNA, 223 nt
Filed under: uncultured Acinetobacter sp.
Lineage: Bacteria; Pseudomonadati; Pseudomonadota; Gammaproteobacteria; Moraxellales; Moraxellaceae
Description: partial 16S ribosomal RNA
Rfam family: Bacterial small subunit ribosomal RNA
Source: RNAcentral
GGGGGGGGGCGGCUACCAUGCAGUCGAGCGGGGGAAGGUAGCUUGCUACCGGACCUAGCGGCGGACGGGUGAGUAAUGCUUAGGAAUCUGCCUAUUAGUGGGGGACAACAUCUCGAAAGGGAUGCUAAUACCGCAUACGUCCUACGGGAGAAAGCAGGGGAUCUUCGGACCUUGCGCUAAUAGAUGAGCCUAAGUCGGAUUAGCUAGUUGGUGGGGUAAAGGC